Molecule: ribosomal RNA, 482 nt
Filed under: uncultured bacterium
Lineage: Bacteria
Description: partial 16S ribosomal RNA
Rfam family: Bacterial small subunit ribosomal RNA
Source: RNAcentral
AUUGAACGCUGGCGGCAUGCCUUACACAUGCAAGUCGAACGGUAACGGGCCUUCGGGUGCCGACGAGUGGCGAACGGGGGAGUAAUACAUCGGAACGUGCCCGAUCGUGGGGGAUAACGAGGCGAAAGCUUUGCUAAUACCGCAUACGAUCUACGGAUGAAAGCAGGGGACCGCAAGGCUUUGCGCGGACGGAGCGGCCGAUGGCAGAUUAGGUAGUUGGUGGGAUAAAAGCUUACCAAGCCGACGAUCUGUAGCUGGUCUGAGAGGAUGAUCAGCCACACUGGGACUGAGACACGGCCCAGACUCCUACGGGAGGCAGCAGUGGGGAAUUUUGGACAAUGGGCGCAAGCCUGAUCCAGCCAUGCCGCGUGCAGGAUGAAGGCCUUCGGGUUGUAAACUGCUUUUGUACGGAACGAAAAGCCUUCUUUUAAUACAGGAGGGUCAUGACGGUACCGUAAGAAUAAGCACCGGCUAACUACGUG